ACUGUUCCAUGCGCUAAAGUGAUACCUUCAUAAAUCUUUCAUUGCUUUUCUGAACAAAUCAUCGCCUUCGAUGAAGAUGGGAAUAAAAAUAGCUGCUUCUGCAAUUGAUCUGAUUCGUGGAAGACGAACUGCGGCUAAAUCUUCGCUUGAAUUCGGUAAUUUUUUUUUACCAUUCGCUUAAUUCUGUCGAAUUUCAUAAUUUUAGUCGUAAUUACAAACCUUUUUCAUUUAAGCUGCCCUAGAAUAGAUUUGAGCUGUCUUGAUGAAUUGAAUGAUGCUAUUCAGAUAUUGAUUUCACGAAACUGUCAAAGGGCUAUAUUGUUAAAUUGAAACACUAGUCUGUUCCCUUUGGACGAAAUGCGUCUGAGGGUGUGAACCCGUGGACGAUUAUACGUUUAAUAUUGCGUUUAAUUGUUAUUGCCUUCUGAAACGUGUAGGACUGGUUUUGCUGUAAUGGCCACCAUCUUCAAGAGCCGAUACGAAUAUGCUGUCUUUUUUUAGAUGGGAAAUUUGAGACUGUGUGAACCUAAUGAUGUUAUGAUAUACUUUUGAGAUAUUAUCUACGAUGGUCGACAAGGGUAUUUCACGUAUGAAGAAUGUUGUCUUCAUUAAUGUGACGAUGAUGGUCGACAAGGGUUACCUGUGAAGAAUGUUGUAUGUUCGUCCAAUGAUAAGUAUUUCACCAAGAUGUUGUAUCUUUGAUAAAGAACCGGUGAAGAAUGUGAAUGUGGUAUGUUCGAAGGGUAGUUAAAAAAAGUUAUACAGAUGUUGUACCUUACACGGAUGUUGUAGGGUUGACGGAGGAUAAGUUAUUACUAUGUUUUAUGGUCGACAAACAAAUGAUAAGUUAUUAUGUUUUAUGCUCGACAAAUGACAAAUAUUUUAUAUAGUUGAUAAAGGUAUUUCAUUUGUGAAGUAUGUUGUCUUUGUUCAUGACGAUCAAAAUGUGAUGAUCGAAGUGUGUUUUCGUUAAUGAUGUUGUCAUGUCUUUGACGAUGUUCGAUAAAUGUAUUUCACUUGUGAAUGAUGUUUUUGUGAAGUAUGUUGUCUUCGGUGUAACGCAUGUAAAAAUAUUAUCCAAAAUGAGAAAUGAUUCAUAAAAUUGAUGUC
This 1110-nucleotide long non-coding RNA is filed under the name Salvia miltiorrhiza (redroot sage). Lineage: Eukaryota; Viridiplantae; Streptophyta; Magnoliopsida; Lamiales; Lamiaceae. The record is from RNAcentral.